Oenanthe melanoleuca is the source of this 2162-nucleotide long non-coding RNA. RefSeq lists it as uncharacterized. The transcript is spliced from 3 exons. NCBI's taxonomy places the organism in Eukaryota, Metazoa, Chordata, Aves, Passeriformes, Muscicapidae. The record is from RefSeq and is a predicted model, not a curated record.
UCCCAGCUCAGGGGAAUACAAAAAGGCUGCCUCUCAACAGUACUGCUCCAGUCUAAGCUCCAUGUGUGAUGUUGCUGCAUAAAUGCUGUAAAAUGUAGCACAGAACAGCUUGGGUUGGAAGGGCUCUUCAACGACACUAGUUAGUGUGAGAACUCUGUGACUUCAGAACAAUAAUAAUAAUCCUCAGAGAUAAAAUUCAAUAAAUUCUCAGUUAUAAUAAUAUUCUUAGCACACAUGUACAAUUCCACACUAUUACAUGUUUUCAUGAAUUCUAUGUCAAAGUCUCUACUUGUAGGAACAGCAGGUUUUGUCUACAGAAGAGAUGAGCUAUUUGACAUCAAAGAACAACUUGGGUCUAAUGAACAAGCUCCUGUCUGAUGAAUUUAAGUCUGUGUCCGGCACUAUACAAGUCAGACUACACCAGCACAGGAUUUCUUAGCUCACUGUAGAACUCUGUGAAUUUAUUAAUUUUAUUAUUUUAUUCUUCUAACCUGCAUUGAAGCAACAUAUACUUGCAUUCACUGAGGAAUUCAUCACUCCCUCCUCUUGUACAAGCCUUUCAUUCUGGAAAGCCUAUCGUGUAUGAGGAAAAACUACAGCUCUGAAAAAUGAAUGAGGUGAACCAGCACAUCUGGAUUUUUUGCAUGAGAUGUCUCCAAAGAUGACUAUGUUUCCCUUUCUUCUGCGGUUCCAAAAUGUUUACCCAGCAGAAAUGCUGGGCCUGCUUCAAGAUGUAAAUUACUGAUUAUUCAAGUAAUUGCCCAAACAAUCUUUAUUGUACACAAAGAAAUACCACGUUUGGUUAAAAAGCUUGCAAAAGAGUUGCUAUCAAAAUUUGUCCCUUAAAUGAAAACUUGAUGAAUUUUAUUGCAUUACGAAACAAGGUCAAGUAGAAACAUACAGAUUUAACUUCAUAAUUUCAAUGAAGUAUCACUAUCAUAUAAACUGUUAUGAAACAGUUAGAAAACUAUGCAGCAACACCAAUGUGUCUCCCUUUUUUUUUUCUGUUUUUAUAACAUUAAUCUGUAUUUUAUGCUAUUUGUUGCAGCUGUCUUUUUUAAAAAAAAAUCAGACUACCAAACAUAAAGCAGUCGUAAGAAAACCAGUAAAGGUAAAAAUGACAGUUUAGAUAGUGAUGGAUUCUCUGGGAAAGGCACUGAAAGAGGUCAUGGCACAAAAUUACUGAGCAAAAUCAAACACAAUUUUUAGUUAAAGAAGCUUAGUGACUUUAAGGACUAAACUAUUUUAAGUUAAAUAUGUGUAACACACAUAGUUGAAGUAAUAUUAAAUAAUUUACUUAAGCUAAUUCUACCUUUUCCCAAGAAUUUUAAGAUAUAAAAAUCAACAACUCCCAAUUACAUAUUAAAAUUUCAGCCAAAACCAUUUUACUAAACACUUGUAUUACCAUAUGCUUCACAUUAAUAUUACAUGAAUUAUUGAAGACUGAUUAAAUAUACAUGUGUCUGUCCAAGCAGGUUUCUCCUCAAAAUGCAGUCUCUUGCUUUCUUCUGUUUUUAAUAUUUGCUUAAAGGCAGUACAUUUGAGUCUGUGCCUAAUGCCAGCUAAUUAUGAAUUCCUUACACCACGGUGUACUACCUGCCACUGAGGGAAGGGAAAAGCAAAUGUUUCAUGCUCCAUUUGCUGCUGACAACAUCUCACUGGGGCUGUCUGCAUUGCAGACUACUCUGUGGAACAUGUGUCCAGCAAACGUACAAUUAACAGUCAGGAGUGCUAACAGAUCAACAAGAAAUAUCACACCCUUGGCCAAGCACCCAAGGCCCUGAGCCAACACCUCCCCAGCAGCUGCAGGGGACACUGACAGCAAAGGAGGUGGCAGUUCCCAGCUCUGCUGGGCUCACCGGGGCCAUGGGCAGAUCUGCAGCAGCAUUUCAGACACAAAUACAGGGCUCUCACAUACAAAUAUAGGGCUCUCAGAUACAAAUACAGGACUCUCACAUACAAAUACACGGCUCUCAGAUACAAAUACAGGGCUCUCACAUACAAAUACACGGCUCUCAGAUAUAAAUACAGGGCUCUCACAUACAAAUACAGGGCUCUCAGAUACAAAUACAGGGCUCUCACAUACAAAUACACGGCUCUCAGAUAGAAAUACACGGCUCUCAGAUACAAAUACAGGGCUCUCACAUACAAAUAUAGGGCUC